This 1017-nucleotide long non-coding RNA is filed under the name Homo sapiens (human). RNAcentral's name for it is "HSALNT0037085". Lineage: Eukaryota; Metazoa; Chordata; Mammalia; Primates; Hominidae. The record is from RNAcentral.
CUGAGCUCUGUUGGCAGCAGGAAGAGAGACUCCUGUUGAGCAGGCAGCCUGUUGGCCAAGCCAGCCAUAUCCACGGCUUCUCUGAGGUUCUCAGGUCAGAAUCACGACAUUAAUAGUGUUAUUGCCAUGGAAAAGAAAAUGAGCUUCAGGAUAAUCUGCUUUACAAUGCCACUUCUGGAAAAUUCCACUGGCAAAAUGUAGGGCUUGCCUCUAUUUUACUCCCUCUCCUAGCAAGGGGCACCUUGUUAGGAAUCCUGUUUUGACAGAGCCCAGGGUAGGUUUUGUCAUGACUCAGAGGGAAGAUGGGGCCACCAACUCCCCUCCCUUUAUGAGGAGCCUCUGCCUACUUCAAAGCUGGUGUCCUGAGCUCUGCCACAGGUGAGUGAGACAGAGAAAUCCACAGAGGUGUCUCCAUAGAAACCCCAGGGAUUCUGCACUGUGGUCACCCCCACAGAAAAGCAUCCACCCUGGCUCCUCGGCCAGGAGCUGGCCUCUGACAGAAGCUGCUUCCUGUUUUCACUGCGUUUCCUCGAAGACUUCAGCUGCUCAUCCUGAUUUCCUGGUGAAAACAAUUUCCCCAUCACUAGCCCAGUGUUGACUCCAGAACCCAGGCAUGUGGGAUGAGACGUCCAGGGGAGGAAGAGGAGGGGUGGAACGCUGCAUGACAGUCUACUGGAGAGGAAAGAUACGAAUGAAUGGCAGAGGUGGAGAUGGUGUUUUUAAAAAGAUAGAAUUAAGGCAGAGGGCUCUGCCACAGCCUGCCUGCCGUGUGGACCAAGCAUGGGAUUUGGAGACCAAUAACCCUGGCUCUGACAUGUAUUAGCUGUGUGAUUUUGGGAGCCUCAGUUUCCUUAUCUGUGAAAUGGAGGUAGCAAUGCCUUCUACACAGGGCUACUGUGAGCAAUGCGGAUACUGUCAUUGAAACAUUGGGCAUGCGAUUAUUAAAAUAACGGAAACAUUUUCUGUCUUGAGAUACAGUUUAAUGUCACUGAAAGAGCAUACGCCUUAGGGCCAGUG